Molecule: long non-coding RNA, 258 nt
Filed under: Volvox carteri
Lineage: Eukaryota; Viridiplantae; Chlorophyta; Chlorophyceae; Chlamydomonadales; Volvocaceae
Description: long non-coding RNA (VCAR_LNC002022)
Source: RNAcentral
CCCUCAUGCUUGGUGAUACGCCAUUACGCGCCGCUACAAUGGCGUGUAUCCAUCAGGUGGGAUCCAAUCGCAGAUAUUUCCUUCCACCGGUCUGGCCCAAGAGCUCAUUCGUUUCAUCCUGGGCGAGUGUUAAUGGUCGGGCUGGUUGGAAAGUGACCAACAGAAUAGUGACAGCAGUAAUAGGCCCCGGGGGUUCCGGCGCUUUGCUGUGUUUAACAGGGCGUACAUUAUUGACGCCUAUCGCGCGGAGGAGGGCAG